This is a long non-coding RNA of Herpailurus yagouaroundi (jaguarundi), 3422 nucleotides long. RefSeq lists it as uncharacterized. The record is from RefSeq and is a predicted model, not a curated record. NCBI's taxonomy places the organism in Eukaryota, Metazoa, Chordata, Mammalia, Carnivora, Felidae. The transcript is spliced from 3 exons.
GGAACAAAUUGUGCUCGCAAGCCAGGUUACAAGGAAAUACAAUUUUAUCUACUUUUCUUUCUUUGUUCUCCCCGUCAGGGACACCUUGCGUUCAUGUGGAAUGUAUGCUAAAAUUGAAGAGCCCGCACUGAUACGUUGUUGUUGUUGUUGUUGUUUUAUAACGGAAGUCCACAGUUUCCUGUAGGGUUCCUCUCGGUUGUGAUACAUUCUAUGGGUUUGGACAAAUGGACGGUAAUGAUGUAUACCCACCAUUAUAGCCUCACGCAGACGGCUUCGCUGCCCUAAACACCCUCCGUGUUUCCCGUUCAUCCCUCCCUCCUCCCCAACCCCUGGCGGCCGCUGGUCCUCCUACUGUCUCCAGAGUCCUGCCUUUUCCAGAAUGUCCUACAGUUGAGAUCGCACGGUCUGUGGCCUUUUCAGACUGGCUUCUUUCACUCAGUGACGUGCAUUUAAGACUUUUGCACGUCUUUGGGGAACUUGCUAGAGGGGUCUCUCUCUCCCGCUCUCUCUCUUCACCUCUAAAUAAUAUUCCAUUGUCUGGAUGGACCACAGUAACUUUAUCCAUCACCGACUGAAGGGUUUCUUGGUGGCUUCUGAGUUUUAGUGACUCUGAAUAAAGAUGCUAUAAACAUCCGUGUGCAGGUUUUUGUGUGGCAGUAGCUCCUUUGGGUACGAGAACCAAGGAGUGUGGCUGCGGGAUCGUGCGGGGACGGUGUGACUGGUUCUGUAAGAUACCGUCUUCUGCAGGGGCUGCACGGUGAGCAGUGAGUGGGCUCGGGGGCUGCACAUCCUCGCCAGCGUCGGUGUGGUCAGUGCUCCGGAUCCUGGCCAUCCCGACAGAUCACAAUAAAAGAAGGAGAGGAAACAAGCGGCCUCAGUCGGUGAGGCACUGAACGGAAGCAGGGAACUUGCCCAGCAGUGGGGACAACGCGGGCCUGAACGAGGCAUCUCCCCCAGGACCCCCGCUCUCAGCACAGAGCACGGAGACCUCCCUGCACGCCCCCCACCUGCUCCGUCUGCCCGUGAGGGUCCCAGGCUGCCCCCCCCCCAGCCCCCUCAGGUCACGGUCACUGGGGUGCAUCCCUCCCUUUGUGCCAGUAACUCCAGGCGUGAUCCUGACGCCACGAAGUCACCAGCGACGCCACGAAGUCACCAGCGACACCACCGGCUGAAGCGGCCUGACCUCACAGAGCAGAGCCCCACCCCUUCCUAAUCCCGGCCACUCCCCGCCCGCCCCACUCACCGGCUCCCCUCCGGUCCUCUCUGACGCUCAGCUUCGGGGGUGCCGGAGGGGAGCCCUCUCCCUCCGCCCGGCUGCAUUCAGGGUCCCUGUCACUCGGGGAAAAACCAAAGGUCUGUGUUGAAAAUGACACAUCCGCUGAGCAAAAUUCAAGUCGUGAGCCCUGGCUCCCACCUGCCUCCUCAGCGCAGCUCGGUGCCCCCGCCGGGGCCCGUGGUUCCUGCCCCGUUCCGUGCUCCUUCCCGAGCAGAGGGUCCCUGUCGCCCGGGAAGGUGGUGGCUCUGAGGGCAGGACGUGGGUCCCGCGCCGCAGCCGGCUCCGGGAAAGAGCAUCUGCAGGGGAACAGCAGGGACCCCCACCGCCCGGCACGGACUGACGAUGCUCAGCCCCUGCCUCACCGCUUCCCACCGCCCCGCGGGGCAGGUGCCUGCGACCCAAGGUACAGAUAGCGACCGGGCAGACAGUGGUGGCGAGGGCAGGUGCGGUGGCCCCUCGGCACCACUGUGUGCCGAGGACCUCGGUACGUCCAGUGCCGACACACCCUCCCUCUCCUGCCCCGACUGGACCACCCGCCCCCGGGUCCCUCCUGUAGCCCCACGAACCCCCGCCCGGCGGCUGAGUCCCUCGGAUGAUCUCCGUCCCGGUCCUUCUGUCCAGACACCGAGUGAGACGACUUUCCCACCUUCCGGGGGCCUGGCCCGUGACUCGCAGGCCUCCUGGCUAAACGGUUUCCUGAGGGGAAAACAGGACCACGGGGCCUUGCUGAGAACUCCCUGCCAUCGGUCAGGACGCCACCAAGGCUGAGUUCUCUGAGAUGCAAACCCUUCAGCACCGGCCUCUCCUGUCUUUCCAGGAUUCCGGGGCCUUAGGGGCCCUCGGAGUUACAACCUUCGCGCAGGACCAGGUGGUAACCAGUCUAGGCUCCGAGAGCCGGGUGGGGUGUGUCGUGAGCGGUCACCUCUGCCACAGACAGCUGGGGGAUGAGCGGGUGUGGCUGUGUUCCCAUCACACAUCCCUUGAGAAAACAGGCCGAGGACUGGGUGUGGCCGGGAGGCCGUGUUGCUGACCCCUGGCUUCGAGAAAGGCAGAAGGGAAGACGUUCACCGGCUACGUUUCUUUUCUUCCUGAGUUCAGGACACCGUCACGGCCCCUGGGGGCUCGGGAACUGCUCAUUCAGAAGCGUCUGUGACCUCCCACGCCAGCUGGUUCCCCUGUAAGUCGGGGGUCUCCCCCACCGCCCCCCAAGAGGAGGUGCAAACCCAUUUCCUGCUGGAUCCACACAGGGUGGGGUGUCCCCAAAUCGUAGCAACUCGCCUAUCUUUCUGCUCCUUGAGUUUCCAACUAGGACGAUUAAAAAAAACCCAAGAACUAUUUUCAAGGCCCUUGCAGACGGCCAUUGGCAGGGUGCCAGCCGCGGCUGGCGCUGCGACGGCAGGGUCCUCUCUGAACCAGCCGGAUGGUGCCUUCUACCCGGGAGAGCAAAUUCCAAGGGACUUCUGGGGUUAAAGCUCCAAGCCUCCGAUGCAAGAAUGCUGCCUCCCCAGGCCGACUGGAGUGCCGCCAAGCAGAGCCACCAGGAUGGAGAAGCCGUCCCCAGCCUGGGGACGCCUACACCUGUCGCAGCCCAGAGAGGCCAGGAGGCAGCGGCCGGGCUCAUCCCCGCCCAACACAGGGGGGCGCCACCCCGCCAGGGAUGCUCUCCCAGGAGCCCUUCUCCUCCACCCGGACGCGGGAAAGAGCCCACUGGGGUCUGGAAGGCUGCAGGGCUGAGGCCCAGCGAGGAGACGGGCUCAUGAGGACAGAGCCCUGGCGUGUUUUGCUCGCUCUUGAAUCCCCAGCGCCUGGCACAUCCUUGGAACAGAGUUGGCUCAAGAAACACCUGCGAAAUGAACGAACGAAUUACCAAACAGAGAAGCAGAAACUAUGACUGAAACAUAAAAGUCCAUUAAAACGUGUAGGGCUUCCUCACCGGGCCCAGAGCACCGGGCUUGAAAGCAGGGAGGGGAGGCACACUCCUCGGGGGCAGAACUCAAGGAAGGCCCCAAACUCUGUGACUGAGAUAGACAACUUUUUGAUGCAGUAUUUGAAGAAAAUCAAAGGGCACGCAAAUAAUUCAUGAUAACCUUUUAAAAUUUUUUUUUAAAUGUUUAAUUUUGAGAGAGAGAGAGAGAGAGAGAGAGAG